AAAAAGAGUUGUUUGCCGAACAAACACUAAAAAUAUAUUUUUUUUAAUUUAAUCGCUACAGUGAAAUUGGUUGGUCGCAGACGAUGAGUCCGCAUUGACCAGGUACAAUGUUACUAAAAAUUUGGAACUGAAACAAGAGUUGUUUGCCGAACGAACACUAAAAAUAUUUUGUUGACAUUACAUACAACAUACUAAAACAGAAAAUUACUAUUAAUAUCACUUAAGUACUAUCAAUACCACACAAUACUAUCGGCUGACUUCCUAGAUUUAACCGGCCUGUUUUUUUGUCGGAUCGAUAAAUUGCGCAAAAUUUCUUAUCGGUUCCAUGCGAAUAUAACCCCUGAUGUUUCUAGCGGCCCCUUUUUUUCGAUCUGAGUAUUAGGCUUUAUACCAGGGCUCGGCACGCACACAUAGCGCUUCGUUUUCUGUUUGUGUGCGAAGACAGCAUGCGUGCACGCAAAACGAAAAAUUGCAAUAUGUACAUUGGUAUUGGUACGAAUCACUGUAAUACACGUGUACGUGAGCGGCAGCGCCGAGUUAGAACCUUGUCCCAUGCCAUGAAGAAACUAUAAGGAGGUCUCGUCGGCAAACAUAAGCAGAACGAGCGAGUGAAAAGUACGAGUAAGAGGGCUCUCGCUGCAAGUGUGAGGGCAACGACAAUGGAGUGUGCUGAUCAUGAAGAAAACAUUCGUCCGCAACCAACCUUCCGCGUCGACAAGCAAACGAGCACUGAACCUAGUCAGAACCAGCGAGUAACUCUACCACCGACGAGGCCUCCUUAUAGUUUCUUCAUGGCUGAGUGCAUAAAGCAACUAUAUAAGGAGGCCCCGUCGGAAAAAAUUAUGGAAUAGUGCGAGUGAAAGGGCUCUCGCUGUAAGUGUGAGGUCAACGACAAUGGAGUGUGCUGAUUAAUCAUUUGAAGGCAAUGUGAAAAAACAUAAUAAUUGUUUCAUAGUUUAAUUUUUAAUAGUUUGCUACUAGUAAUAGCUAAUAGUAGCCUGUGUUUUGAAAAAAUAAACAUUUAAAAAAAAUGGAAAAAAAAUGUUGUCCGCAACCAACCUUCCGCGUCGACAAGCAAACGUGCACUGAGAAUUUGGUAAAGCAGCGAGUAACUCUGCCACCGACGGGUCCUCCUUAUAUAGUUGCUUUAUGGCUGAGUGGAGGAGCAGCUUAUUCACCACGCUUCACCACCAUAGCACCGCCACGAUUCACCACCAUAGCAAACGCUUUACGUUCUGCACUCUUCGCUUUUAUUGUUUCUGCUGACAGCAAAAAAA
RNAcentral lists this long non-coding RNA (1277 nucleotides) under Drosophila guanche. The record is from RNAcentral. Lineage: Eukaryota; Metazoa; Arthropoda; Insecta; Diptera; Drosophilidae.